GAUGCUAAUACCGGAUAACAACAGAUGAUGCCUAUCAACUGUUUAAAGAUGGUUCUGCUAUCACUCUUGGAUGGACCUGCGGUGCAUUAGCUAGUUGGUAGGGUAACGGCCUACCAAGGCGAUGAUGCAUAGCCGAGUUGAGAGACUGAUCGGCCACAUUGGGACUGAGACACGGCCCAAACUCCUACGGGAGGCAGCAGCA
This 202-nucleotide ribosomal RNA is filed under the name uncultured Lactobacillus sp. RNAcentral's name for it is "partial 16S ribosomal RNA". It matches the Rfam family "Bacterial small subunit ribosomal RNA", at positions 159 to 355 of the family's 1533-position model. Lineage: Bacteria; Bacillati; Bacillota; Bacilli; Lactobacillales; Lactobacillaceae. The record is from RNAcentral.